Mustela putorius furo (domestic ferret) is the source of this 1722-nucleotide long non-coding RNA. NCBI's taxonomy places the organism in Eukaryota, Metazoa, Chordata, Mammalia, Carnivora, Mustelidae. The record is from Ensembl.
GGUACAAGAAGAUACUUCUCAUUGAUUUUGGCUACUAUAUAAUAUUUUAUAGUAUAGGCAGAUAUGCUAUAUUCAGUUAUUUUCCUAUUGAGAGACAUUAAGGUAUUUCCAUUUUUUUGUUGUUAUGAACGAUUCUUACUGUGUUUUAAGUAUCAGUGUUCUUUUCUUAGGCCUUUUGUCUUCUUUUCUCAUGCUGCUCUUCUAGGUGAUCUCAACCUUUCUGACAGCUCCACUUAACCGUCUACAUAUGGAUGAUGCCCAGCUCUGUCUGCAGACCAGUGUCCAGCUGCUCACGUGGCCGGCAUCACAGGGAUAUUGUGCACACUCACCACCAUGUGGCCUCCUGCUCCUCCUUACUUGCUGCCUCACCUGGUGUCCUGUCACAUGCCUGAGGAGAAUCUCAGAUUGUCUUACCUGUUCUAAAUUCAAGCUUGGGUAUUCACCUGUCAGCAGGGCAACUGGACCUGUAUGUUCCAUAGACUUCCUAAAUUUAGUAGCAACACGGUAAGAAAGUUUGGUUAAAGUGAUUUGUUAUUUUUGGUGAGAGUAUAUGAAAACUCUUAACACCAGGACUUGUGUAUUAUUGGUAUCCAAGAGGUGACAGAGAGUAUGUGAGAUAUAUUUUGAAACUGUUAAGUCCUUCCUUAGAUCCCCUGCUUCUCACGUGCCUCCUAUUCUUAGCUAAACAGGGGAUAGCAACAUGGAUUCCACAUUUGGGAAGUUGCCAAUUCCUCGUUGGUGGCUUUAUGCUCAGGCAGAAGGUGUAAUAGGCUUCUGCAUAUAUGACAGCAAAUAUAUCUGGACCCUGUCUGUCAGGUUACUCAAAAUCUUACCCCAGACUGAAAAUGUCACCUUGGGCAACAUUCUUGGUAGGGACCUAGGUUUGAGAAUCUUAGUGGGGAAGACUGUGAAUCUCUAGGGUAGUCAUGCAAGGUGGUGAGUGUAUGGGAUUGGACAGGAGUUUAACUUAGCCAGGAUAGCUUGAUGGAUGUAGCUAUGGAGGAAGGGAUAAAGUAAGGAGUAAAACGGUCUCAGCUCCUUGUAAUGUUCUGCUCCUAGGAAGAUAUAGGCACUGUGUGCCAGGGGCAGAGCUCUGGCCUGUCACUCCGCUUUGAGAGUCAGUCUUACCCCUGGCUGCCCUACAAGGCAUUUGGAGUUCAGUAGGAGAUGGAACAGGGAAUCUGAAUCAGAAAGACCUUGCUUCAAAUCUUUUUUUUUUUUUUUUUUAAGAUUUUAUUUUAUUCAUUUGGUUGCGGGGGGGAGCACAAGCAGAGGGAGAGGCAGAAAAAGAGGGAGAAGCAGACUCCCUGCCAAGCCAAGAGCCUGAAAUGGGACUCAAUCCCAGAACCUGGAGAUCAUGACCCGAGCCAAAGGCAGAUGCCUGCGUGCCCUAACCUUACUUCAAAUAUUACAGAUCUGCAGGAAGGAAGUGUGUGUCCCAGGACUUGUUUUCUGUGUGCUGAAAUAAGGACUGCCAUCCAGGUGUGUGGAGGUUUCCCUCCAUCCUUCUUAUGCCCCUUCAACUUGCUUCCAUCUUAAGCUUUCAUCCUUUUCACCCUAUCAUUGGCAUGGCAUCUAGAAAGAGGAGGGGGAAGGGUGAGAAGGAAAGGGAGAGUUAGGGCUGAACAGAGAGCCCAAUGCGGGGCUCGAUCCCAGGACCCCAAGAUUAUGACCUGAGCUGAAGGCAGAGGCUUAACCCACUGAGCCACCCAGGUACCCCUA